UCUUUGCUAGUAUAUCGGAUAGUACAGCCGCCUGUCAUGCUUGAAUCGAGUGGCGGUGCGCGGCAGAGCUGGGUUCGACUCCCAGGCAGAGAG
This is a non-coding RNA of Leucogyrophana mollusca, 93 nucleotides long. The record is from the annotation of a GenBank genome assembly. Lineage: Eukaryota; Fungi; Basidiomycota; Agaricomycetes; Boletales.